This 440-nucleotide ribosomal RNA is filed under the name uncultured bacterium. RNAcentral describes it as "partial 16S ribosomal RNA". It matches the Rfam family "Bacterial small subunit ribosomal RNA", at positions 338 to 795 of the family's 1533-position model. The record is from RNAcentral.
CCUACGGGGGGCUGCAGUGGGGAAUAUUGCACAAUGGGGGAAACCCUGAUGCAGCGACGCCGCGUGAGUGAAGAAGUAUUUCGGUACGUAAAGCUCUAUCAGCAGGGAAGAAAAUGACGGUACCUGACUAAGAAGCCCCGGCUAACUACGUGCCAGCAGCCGCGGUAAUACGUAGGGGGCAAGCGUUAUCCGGAUUUACUGGGUGUAAAGGGAGCGUAGACGGCAGCGCAAGUCUGGAGUGAAAUCCCAUGGCUUAACCAUGGAACUGCUUUGGAAACUGGGCAGCUAGAGUGCAGGAGAGGUAAGCGGAAUUCCUAGUGUAGCGGUGAAAUGCGUAGAUAUUAGGAGGAACACCAGUGGCGAAGGCGGCUUACUGGACUGUAACUGACGUUGAGGCUCGAAAGCGUGGGGAGCAAACAGGAUUAGAUACCCCAGUAGUC